CGACGAGUGGCGGACGGGUGAGUAAUACUUAGGAAUCUGCCCAGUAGUGGGGGACAACUCGGGGAAACUCGAGCUAAUACCGCAUACGCCCUAAGGGGGAAAGCGGGGGAUCUUCGGACCUCGCGCUAUUGGAUGAGCCUAAGUCGGAUUAGCUUGUAGGUAGGGUAACGGCCUACCUAGGCGACGAUCCGUAGCUGGUCUGAGAGGACGAUCAGCCACACUGGGACUGAGACACGGCCCAG
This 242-nucleotide ribosomal RNA is filed under the name uncultured bacterium. RNAcentral describes it as "partial 16S ribosomal RNA". It matches the Rfam family "Bacterial small subunit ribosomal RNA", at positions 89 to 334 of the family's 1533-position model. The record is from RNAcentral.